GAUGAAGAACGUAGCGAAAUGCGAUAAGUAGUGUGAAUUGCAGAAUUCAGUGAAUCAUCGAAUCUUUGAACGCACAUUGCGCCCUUUGGUAUUCCAAAGGGCAUGCCUGUUCGAGCGUCAUUUGUACCCCCAAGCUUUGCUUGGUGUUGGGCGUCUUGUCUCUAGCUUUGCUGGAGACUCGCCUUAAAGUAAUUGGCAGCCGACCUACUGGUUUCGGAGCGCAGCACAAGUCGCACUCUCUAUCAGCAAAGGUCUAGCAUCCAUUAAGCCUUUUUUUCAACUUUUGACCUCGGAUCAGGUAGGGAUACCCGCUGAACUUAAGCAUAUCAAUAAGCGGAGGA
This 341-nucleotide unclassified non-coding RNA is filed under the name soil metagenome. Its description in RNAcentral is "partial contains 5.8S ribosomal RNA, internal transcribed spacer 2, and large subunit ribosomal RNA". The stretch from base 1 to 120 matches the Rfam family "5.8S ribosomal RNA", at positions 35 to 154 of the family's 154-position model. The record is from RNAcentral.